Long non-coding RNA from Molossus molossus (Pallas's mastiff bat), 365 nucleotides. RefSeq lists it as uncharacterized. The transcript is spliced from 3 exons. The record is from RefSeq and is a predicted model, not a curated record. NCBI's taxonomy places the organism in Eukaryota, Metazoa, Chordata, Mammalia, Chiroptera, Molossidae.
AGGAGACUCCUGCUCUUUGGUUAACUGAUCCACCUUUUCCGUAAUAGCUGUCACGGAUGCCUGCUUGCACUGUAGUUUCUUCACAAAAUCCUAAAGCUAUGCUAAUGUUUAAGGAUCGAUGGACACACACCACCUUGGUCUUCUCUGUCUGCCCUGGAGACCCACUAGCUCCUACCUUUACUUGGGAAGCCAUGUUCUGUGCAAUGUUGAGCUCCAGUUCCGCAUGCCUCCGCUUCAUAUUCUGCAGUUGCUGAUCAGCGUCCUGGAGAGUUGGACAAGUCGCACAUGGAGCAGAGGAGAUCUAAGUAGGUCCUCGCCUGCUUCUGCAAAGCCCUGAAGUGUUUGACCUUAAAAAAACACACUCG